Long non-coding RNA from Diceros bicornis minor, 852 nucleotides. RefSeq lists it as uncharacterized. The record is from RefSeq and is a predicted model, not a curated record. The transcript has 3 exons. NCBI's taxonomy places the organism in Eukaryota, Metazoa, Chordata, Mammalia, Perissodactyla, Rhinocerotidae.
AAAAACUGAGGCCUGGUGAGAGUCUCACCUGUAGGGGGGACGCCCAGCCCAGGACCUCUGAUGAUCAGAUUCCGGCCCAGCCGUGUCAAUUGAAGGGACUCUCCCCGGCAGUGGGGCGUGGAUGUUCUAUGCCAGCUAAAGCAGCCACCCAACAGAGUGCCACAAAAUUCUAUAAAUCACCAAGGCAGAUUCAGAGUGACAACAGUUCCCACUUUACAGAUAUUCCUGCUGUGCUCGCUAUGCUAUGCUGCAACUCCAUGUCUGCUGCAGACCUCCACCCCAACUAUAGUCUCCACAGGACAACUUUUGACCCUGCACUGCUGGAGCAACUGCUCUACAUCAGUGGGACCUAUAACCUGGACUACGAUUGGCCGAGAAAUUUGGUCUCAAAAAACAUCAAGCAACUUCUCAGUAUAAGCCUAUCUCUGAUCAGUCACACAAAACUAAUUAUAAUUUCUCUAUUACCCUGCCUUCUGCUACUCUCCGUGAUGGGGGCUGGUCUAGACUUCUACAAGCUAAUUUGUUGCCUAGGUAUUAUCUUAGCUAAUGUUAUCUUUGAUGCUGUACAUGAUUUACAAAAUCAAGUUAAUAAUACUUCAUAUUCUAAGGGAUUAUUUGAUUAGCUACCUUGGGGUUUGGGUCCUUUAUUACAAAAUAGUUUUAUAAUUAUUAUAGUCAUUAAAUUUAGGGUUCUUGGAUGUGCCUUGUGUACUUAUAUACAAAGUUCAUUGUCUGUACAUAUGAUGUCUUAUGGUUAAUAAAAACGGCCACAGACAAAAAUGUCUUGACAUGAGUACAGCCAUGUUUGGCCGCUCCAUUGACCUACAGCCACCAACACAAAAAAAUAUAUAA